Long non-coding RNA from Otolemur garnettii (small-eared galago), 337 nucleotides. RefSeq lists it as uncharacterized. The transcript has 3 exons. NCBI's taxonomy places the organism in Eukaryota, Metazoa, Chordata, Mammalia, Primates, Galagidae. The record is from RefSeq and is a predicted model, not a curated record.
CUGGGAUCCUGGAGGUGUCUGUGCAUUUCUGGCUGGUAGCAGAAAAGAACCAGAAAUUUCUGGGUAUGGAAAACUAGAGCACAGAACGAUUAGUGCUUGUCUCAGGAACUUGCUUGGGGGCUUCCCCAGCCACUUCUCUGCUCCUCAAAGCAGGAAAAAAUGCUUGCCAACAUUUUGGUAUCAUUUUUAAUUGGCUUGGAAAUUUAAUCAGAAUAAUGUCAGGUAUGGAAACUUCCACCUGGGAUUAAAGCAUCAGUGAAGAUACGGCUUUGCAGGGAUUCAGAUUUUAGAGAAGAAAGGAGGUCAUGAGAGCUCAUUACUGGAUCAGUGAAGUGGU